CAGUCGUACCGGCGGAUAAUCAGCCUUUCGGGUGCGAUUCUGUGGGGCGUGAGGAGCUUAACCGCCUUCAUGUUUUGCAUAUUCGUGCACAUUUGGUGUACUUGCUCGUGUGGUUGGUUAACAUUCAAUUUUCGGAGCCAUAAAAUGGCUGGA
RNAcentral lists this ribosomal RNA (153 nucleotides) under Rhizophagus irregularis. The record is from RNAcentral. Lineage: Eukaryota; Fungi; Glomeromycota; Glomeromycetes; Glomerales; Glomeraceae.